CAAAAUUAAUGUUUUUUUUCUCAGAUCACUGUACAGGAAUUUGACAUUGAACCAGCUAGCCUGUUUUGAUAUACUCUACCUGUAAAAUUCUUUAUGCCUUUAUUAAACAGGAAAAGUUAAGAAAUAAAACAAGCCAAGAUAUGAUUUAGAAGAAAAAUAGCUUGGGUUCAUCUUAGAUAAUGAACUGUUCAUCCAAGCACAGAAAAUUCUGGUGAGGAGGGAACGCUGUGUAAGCAGCAGUGCUAUACUAUCCCCCCAAAAAAGUUCCAAAGUAGGUUCAAAAUUGCAAUUUGCCUCUUUUUAAGGUUAUUAUUCUCCCAGUUAACGACCACAUACAGCAUUUUACAUAGAAGUAAAUAACUUUAGAUGGUUUAGGUGGAAAUUGGACCAUUCACCAGAGGUUAUCGCAGAAUAGGAGGCACUUCCAAAGUCCAUUGGGACCUCCACAAAAAUCUGUGGCCAUUUCAGUAACUUGCUUUGUUACCAAAUCCGUUCAUUUAUUAAACUAGCUACCCAGCUCAACCAUUGCUCCAUUUCUGGCAAAAAUUAAGAGCAAAACAGAUGUAUAGUACCUGUGACCUAAAAAAAAAAUAAUAUCUACAAACACCAGGAUAUGUGAAAGUGUUUGCUGAGGACCAAAGCUUUUGUGUCAGAAAGGAGUUCAAGAAAACAAGGGUACACGUAGUACUCUUGCUUUCUCCUAGGUCCUCUGCUGCAAAUUUGAAAUUACAGUGUUGAAGGUGACUGUGGAGCUUGUGUAAUGCCUGCUGAAGAUCUCUGAUCUGAUGUAAAUGGUCUUUAUCAAAAUCUGAUCCUCAUGCACUGCGUCGGCCCCAUUUUCAUUGUUGGGAGUAUGUGAACUGUGUGCACUGUUGAAGAAUAAGAACCAGUUCACACAAAUGGCUCUCCCUUAGUUACACAUCAGGAGUCGUGUAUCUUCUCCAUUUUCUUACAUAACCUCAAAUGGGACAAUAAAGUUCAAAUUUUUAUGAAUGUAUUUUGAACU
Molecule: long non-coding RNA, 1006 nt
Filed under: Calidris pugnax (ruff)
Lineage: Eukaryota; Metazoa; Chordata; Aves; Charadriiformes; Scolopacidae
Description: lncRNA (ENSCPUG00000005240.1)
Source: RNAcentral